Molecule: unclassified non-coding RNA, 343 nt
Filed under: Hevea brasiliensis (rubber tree)
Lineage: Eukaryota; Viridiplantae; Streptophyta; Magnoliopsida; Malpighiales; Euphorbiaceae
Source: RNAcentral
UGGAAAAUUUAUUGAUGCAAAAUUUGUUUGCAGUAGAUAUGGAAGUAAGCGUGAACCUUCUACUUCUGGCGCAGAACCUGUUCCAAGUACUGAUGCAGCAGGAAGUAAUCCCGUGAAAAGAAAAAAAGGCAGAAUAAACAGGUCUUGGUCAAAAACAGAUUGUAAGGCUUGCUUGCAUGUAAAGAGAAGGUCUGAUGGAAGGUGGGUUAUUCAUACUUUUGUCAAAGAGCAUAACCAUGAAAUAUUUCCGGAUUGGACCAGUUAUCCUCCAGGUCACAGGAACAUUGAUCUGGGUAAAAAUGAUGCAGAUGCAUUUCAUGCUAUCCGUGGGAGGACGAAAAAG